Molecule: ribosomal RNA, 494 nt
Filed under: uncultured bacterium
Lineage: Bacteria
Description: partial 16S ribosomal RNA
Rfam family: Bacterial small subunit ribosomal RNA
Source: RNAcentral
GACGAACGCUGGCGGCGUGCUUAACACAUGCAAGUCGAACGGUGAAGCGCCUUCCUUUUUGGUGGGUGUGGAUGAGUGGCGAACGGGUGAGUAACACGUGAGUAACCUGCCCCCUUCUUCUGGAUAACCGCAUGAAAGUGUGGCUAAUACGGGAUAUUCUGGGUCUGUCGCAUGAUGGGUCUGGGAAAGAUAUUGUUUCGGUGGGGGAUGGGCUCGCGGCCUAUCAGCUUGUUGGUGGGGUGAUGGCCUACCAAGGCGGUGACGGGUAGCCGGCCUGAGAGGGUGGACGGUCACACUGGGACUGAGACACGGCCCAGACUCCGACGGGAGGCAGCAGUGGGGAAUAUUGCACAAUGGGCGCAAGCCUGAUGCAGCGACGCCGCGUGAGGGAUGGAGGCCUGCGGGUUGUGAACCUCUUUCGCCAGUGAAGCAGGCCUGCCUCGUUUGUGGGUGGGUUGACGGUAGCUGGAUAAGAAGCGCCGGCUAACUACGUG